GAAGGUACAGCUUAGUGAUAAAGGGCAUGCUUAGCAUGCAUGAGGUCCUGGGUCCAAUUCCUAGUACCUCUG
Molecule: transfer RNA, 72 nt
Filed under: Camelus bactrianus (Bactrian camel)
Lineage: Eukaryota; Metazoa; Chordata; Mammalia; Artiodactyla; Camelidae
Also listed under: 1 other name
Rfam family: tRNA
About the family: Transfer RNA (tRNA) molecules are approximately 80 nucleotides in length.
Source: Rfam by way of RNAcentral